GUUCUUAUUACAAUUCUCAAAUUUAAAAUUAAGUUCUGAUCACAUCUUCUCAGGGCAUACCUAAGAGGCAGUGUUUAUCCCCAGCCAAAUCAAUUGUUUCCUCAAGUGACUCAUUCCUGAAAAUGUUAUUGUUUCUAAUAACCAGCUCAAAUAUGUAUUUUCAUUAAUCUUUUCUUUUACCUCCAUUUCACACGUGUUGCUGCAUGUCAGGCAGUUUCCACAAGGAUCUGCCAUGACAUCAUUGUGUGAGGUAUGAAAAAAAAAUUUUUUUUUUUCUAAUUUAAGAAUUACUUUUACUCAGAUGGUGGCUGGGCUGGGAAAUGUUCCCCAUUGCCCUGGGAGUUUUAGGCCAAGGCUUGUGUGUGUGUGUGUGUGUGUGUGUGUGUUGGAAGGGUCUCUCAUUGCCUAUUUCUGCUUAUAUAACACACACUGGUUUAGGUAGGUGGAGUCAGAAUGGGAAGAGGAAGUUCCCUAAGUGUUUCUUGCAUGCAAAGUAAGCCACUGGCCUAGACAAGAAGCAACUCUGCACUGCUUUUCAAACAUCAUCCUCCCUCUCGACCGCAGGGACUAUUUGGUUUCUAUUCUACUUCUGGCCUUUCAUAUUCCUGAUGGUGCAUUGGAUGAAACCCCGCAGCCAGGCGUGUGAACGUGGUUGAAAAGACCCAUGGAGGACCAGCAACGCUUCCCCACAGCGUGGGAUGGUCCCCUCCUGAGAUGGCCCACUGUCAGCGGGACUGACGCCAAGCACUGCAUCCUGUCUGCUUCUUGAACAGCCCCUUCAUUGUUUGUUCAGCUAUUCUGCUGCAUCUGCAGAUAGCCCUGCCUGAGAAACAGCCUCAAACCAGAAGGAGAGGAUGGCGGCAAGCCUUAGAGAAACAUCAAAAUUUGCUAUUAAGAAAAUAGUGAAGAAGUCUCAUCAGAGAGAAGUUAAAAGCAUACUAGUGGAUUCCUUGGGGCUGCAGAAAGAGUAGCAAAAAGUUGGAGAAAACAUCAACUACACCAAAGGAAUUUUAGGAGCUUGGUCCCCAGCAAAGCUCAUGGAAUCUCUCUCUGCAAGGAAGAGUCAGUUUUAAAAGCCCUCAGCCUGCUCUCAAUGGGUCCUGCCUCCUUCCCUGCCUGCACCCCAACACUGGGGAAAGGAGAAACCUCCGUUAGCAAGUUGGAGAAAAGGAGUUGAGGAAGGAAGAGGAUAGCCCGGCCCCCUCCCUGACUGCAGGUUUUUCUUUUUCUUUUUAACAGUGGAUUCUAGCGAGGGGAGGGCAAAUCCCUGAAACCUUGAAUGAAGUUGGAAGCCUUUACUAGUUUGUGUGUUUGGAAUUCUAAGUAGAAAUUGAGACUGUGUUUUGUGACUCAAAUGACUAAGAUUUUCUGUUACCUACGAGUGGCCAAAAUGUCAAGUAUUCAUCCGGGGGCAGGGUGAAAACUAGACCUACUGAGAAAGUUAAAAGACAAGGGGAAAACACAAUAAACCUGCUGUAUUUUUACCUCCAAAGUGUCCAUUCAAUUUACUGGCUGUAGUAGUUUGAAAGCAAGGUUCUGUGAUAUCAUUCCAGAGUUGAGAGUAACAAAAGCUGAUAAUUGUAAAUGCAGCACUAUCCAAUGGAAAUAUAAUGCAAAUUAUAUGCGUGACUUAACAUUUUUU
This 1642-nucleotide long non-coding RNA is filed under the name Homo sapiens (human). RNAcentral describes it as "HSALNT0151173". The record is from RNAcentral. Lineage: Eukaryota; Metazoa; Chordata; Mammalia; Primates; Hominidae.